RNAcentral lists this ribosomal RNA (253 nucleotides) under uncultured bacterium. RNAcentral's name for it is "partial 16S ribosomal RNA". It matches the Rfam family "Bacterial small subunit ribosomal RNA", at positions 524 to 776 of the family's 1533-position model. The record is from RNAcentral.
UACAGAGGGGGCAAGCGUUGUUCGGAAUUACUGGGCGUAAAGGGCGCGUAGGCGGCCUGCUAAGUCGAACGUGAAAUCCCUGGGCUCAACCCAGGAACUGCGUCCGAUACUGGUUGGCUUGAAUCCGGGAGAGGGACGUGGAAUUCCAGGUGUAGCGGUGAAAUGCGUAGAUAUCUGGAGGAACACCGGUGGCGAAGGCGACGUCCUGGACCGGCAUUGACGCUGAGGCGCGAAGGCCAGGGGAGCAAACGGG